GACAACUUUUUAAACCAGGUACGGACACUAUGAGUUGCACACCAAGAUAAUCUAAGCAAGAUAGCCAGCACACUCUUCUUGGAGAGAGAUUUCUUAACCCAAUUCAAUUCAUCAUUCUAUCUCCCCACAUCUUUAUAGAUAUUACUCUUUUUCAAAGGGCAACCUGGUCAUGUCAUUUGGGCUAACCAACGCCCCAACCAUCUUCAUAAAUAUGAUUAACAGGGUCUUCA
Molecule: long non-coding RNA, 230 nt
Filed under: Carica papaya (papaya)
Lineage: Eukaryota; Viridiplantae; Streptophyta; Magnoliopsida; Brassicales; Caricaceae
Description: long non-coding RNA (CPAP_LNC007322)
Source: RNAcentral